CGUUAAAACACGGGUUUCCGUAUGAUCACCGAAGUUAAACAACGACUAGCCUAAUCAGUACCUAGAUGGGUGACUACUUGGGAAUACCAGGUACUGUAAG
This is a non-coding RNA of Acanthosepion pharaonis, 100 nucleotides long. The record is from the annotation of a GenBank genome assembly. Lineage: Eukaryota; Metazoa; Mollusca; Cephalopoda; Sepiida; Sepiidae.